AACACAUCUUGGCCUUUCAGCUCACGAUGUAGUAUCUGUCCUCAUCAGUGUAAAUUCUGAUAUGUCCCUUAUCUGGGGACCAGAUGUUAAACUGAUUUUGGGGCUCUUGUGAUUCUAAUUUUUGCUUGUAUUCUAAAAAUGUCAACUUAAUGCCAGGUAGAGCUAUGUGGUCAUCAAGUAUUCUC
Small nuclear RNA from Stegostoma tigrinum, 185 nucleotides. RefSeq annotates it as U2 spliceosomal RNA. The transcript has a single exon. The record is from RefSeq and is a predicted model, not a curated record. Lineage: Eukaryota; Metazoa; Chordata; Chondrichthyes; Orectolobiformes; Stegostomatidae.